RNAcentral lists this ribosomal RNA (450 nucleotides) under uncultured bacterium. RNAcentral describes it as "partial 16S ribosomal RNA". It matches the Rfam family "Bacterial small subunit ribosomal RNA", at positions 28 to 506 of the family's 1533-position model. The record is from RNAcentral.
AGCGAACGCUGGCGGCAUGCCUAACACAUGCAAGUCGCACGGGGGGGCUUCGGCCUCCCAGUGGCGGACGGGUGAGGAACGCGUAGGGACCUGUCGAGGGGUGGGGGAUAACCGCGGGAAACUGCGGCUAAUACCGCAUGACGCCGCGGCGUGACAGCCGGGGCCAAAGGCGAAAGCCGCCCGCCGAGGGGCCUGCGUCCGAUUAGCUGGUUGGCGGGGUAGCGGCCCACCAAGGCGUCGAUCGGUAGCUGGUCUGAGAGGGUGAUCAGCCACACCGGGACUGAGACACGGCCCGGACUCCGACGGGAGGCAGCAGUGGGGAAUAUUGGACAAUGGGCGCAAGCCUGAUCCAGCAAUGCCGCGUGGGUGAAGAAGGUCUUCGGAUUGUAAAGCCCUUUCGGCGGGGACGAUGGUGACGGUACCCGCAGAAGAAGCCCCGGCUAACUUCGU